CGCUCCGCAGUUGCGAAUGAGAAGAGCAUGUAUCCCUGAAAAUAAAUAAAUAAAUAAAUCAGCUGCUUUAACCCUGUUUGAUCAUGACAGAGUACUCACACGUAAAGUCCACCAAACUCGUCCUAAAAGGAUUAAACGAUAAAAAGGCUUUCUUUUUUGUAUUGCGUUCCACCAAAGUUUUAUCAUUUCUAAUUAAUGUUUACAGUUAAUUAACGUAAGUUACUGUUCUAAUUGAUGUGAGCAGCUGCGUAAUGUUGUGCCAAGAGUUAUGUCAAUAUCACGUUUUUUGACGCUAACGGUAAUAUUAAAUUGCCUCCACCUUCCAUAAUGUGCUGAAAGAAGAAAAAUAACAAAGACAAGAAGAGAAAACGAGAUGAUGAUGAAGACAGGAUGGAUAUCGUUGGUAUAUAUUGCCACUUUGCCCAAGGAGUUAUAAAAGAGGAUGAAGGCCCAGAUCCUCCAGAACAGUUUACUGCCAUCAGACUCUCAGACUCCAGCACUAAAGUCAGACUAUGGGAAGUAUUUAGGUGUAAACUCAGACAGUGUUGUGGUUGGGCGAUCAGAUGCCAUCGGCUCCAGAGAACAGUGGGAACCAGUGUUUCAGAAAGUGAGUGAAUCUGUCAGUCAGAU
Cyprinus carpio carpio is the source of this 630-nucleotide long non-coding RNA. Lineage: Eukaryota; Metazoa; Chordata; Actinopteri; Cypriniformes; Cyprinidae. The record is from Ensembl.